This 465-nucleotide ribosomal RNA is filed under the name uncultured Klebsiella sp. RNAcentral describes it as "bacterial SSU rRNA". It matches the Rfam family "Bacterial small subunit ribosomal RNA", at positions 338 to 795 of the family's 1533-position model. The record is from RNAcentral. Lineage: Bacteria; Pseudomonadati; Pseudomonadota; Gammaproteobacteria; Enterobacterales; Enterobacteriaceae.
CCUACGGGAGGCAGCAGUGGGGAAUAUUGCACAAUGGGCGCAAGCCUGAUGCAGCCAUGCCGCGUGUGUGAAGAAGGCCUUCGGGUUGUAAAGCACUUUCAGCGGGGAGGAAGGCGUUAAGGUUAAUAACCUUGGCGAUUGACGUUACCCGCAGAAGAAGCACCGGCUAACUCCGUGCCAGCAGCCGCGGUAAUACGGAGGGUGCAAGCGUUAAUCGGAAUUACUGGGCGUAAAGCGCACGCAGGCGGUCUGUCAAGUCGGAUGUGAAAUCCCCGGGCUCAACCUGGGAACUGCAUUCGAAACUGGCAGGCUAGCGUCUUGUAGAGGGGGGUAGAAUUCCAGGUGUAGCGGUGAAAUGCGUAGAGAUCUGGAGGAAUACCGGUGGCGAAGGCGGCCCCCUGGACAAAGACUGACGCUCAGGUGCUAAAGCGUGGGGAGCAAACAGGAUUAGAUACCCGGGUAGUC